RNAcentral lists this ribosomal RNA (460 nucleotides) under uncultured bacterium. RNAcentral describes it as "partial 16S ribosomal RNA". It matches the Rfam family "Bacterial small subunit ribosomal RNA", at positions 338 to 795 of the family's 1533-position model. The record is from RNAcentral.
CCUACGGGAGGCAGCAGUGAGGAAUAUUGGUCAAUGGACGAGAGUCUGAACCAGCCAAGUAGCGUGAAGGAUGACUGCCCUAUGGGUUGUAAACUUCUUUUAUAAAGGAAUAAAACGAGGCACGUGUGCCUUUUUGCAUGUACUUUAUGAAUAAGGAUCGGCUAACUCCGUGCCAGCAGCCGCGGUAAUACGGAGGAUCCGAGCGUUAUCCGGAUUUAUUGGGUUUAAAGGGAGCGUAGAUGGGUUGUUAGGUCAGUGGUGAAAGUGUGCGGCUCAACCGUAAAAUUGCCAUUGAUACUGGCAGUCUCGAGUACAGUUGAGGUAGGCGGAAUUCGUGGUGUAGCGGUGAAAUGCUUAGAUAUCACGCAGAACCCCGAUUGCGAAGGCAGCUUACUAACCUGUGACUGACGUUGAUGCUCGAAAGUGUGGGUAUCAAACAGGAUUAGAUACCCGAGUAGUC